This 61-nucleotide small RNA is filed under the name Lactobacillus acidophilus. RNAcentral describes it as "crRNA_29". The record is from RNAcentral. Lineage: Bacteria; Bacillati; Bacillota; Bacilli; Lactobacillales; Lactobacillaceae.
UGAUCCCAGGGUGGUUUUAAGUACGAGAUUGACUACGAUAUUUUCUCCACGUAUGUGGAGG